GGGCCCGCACAAGCGGUGGAGCAUGUGGUUUAAUUCGAUGAUACGCGAGGAACCUUACCAGGGCUUAAAUGUAGUCUGACAGGGGUGGAAACACCCCCUCCUUCGGGCAGAUUACAAGGUGCUGCAUGGUUGUCGUCAGCUCGUGCCGUGAGGUGUCAGGUUAAGUCCUAUAACGAGCGCAACCCCUACCGUUAGUUGCCAGCGAGUCAUGUCGGGGACUCUAACGGGACUGCCGGUGCAAACCGUGAGGAAGGUGGGGACGACGUCAAAUCAUCACGGCCCUUACGUCUUGGGCUACACACGUGCUACAAUGGUAGUGACAAUGGGCAGCCACUCCGCGAGGAGGCGCAAAUCCACAAACACUAUCUCAGUUCGGAUUGUCGUCUGCAACUCGACGGCAUG
RNAcentral lists this ribosomal RNA (402 nucleotides) under uncultured bacterium. RNAcentral's name for it is "bacterial SSU rRNA". It matches the Rfam family "Bacterial small subunit ribosomal RNA", at positions 917 to 1322 of the family's 1533-position model. The record is from RNAcentral.